This 1077-nucleotide long non-coding RNA is filed under the name Vigna radiata. RNAcentral describes it as "long non-coding RNA (VRAD_LNC017171)". Lineage: Eukaryota; Viridiplantae; Streptophyta; Magnoliopsida; Fabales; Fabaceae. The record is from RNAcentral.
GCAUGUUAGCACUCCGACACCUAAGUCAACAAAGUCACAAUAAUCUCAAGGUAAGAAUGAAUAGAUUCAGAGUAUUUUACCUGGCUGAUUACUCCUAUAUUUAUAGGCAUCAGACGUGAGUUAAGGGCCAUAGCUACCUGUAAAUGCUGUUGGCCCAUAAUCCCGCAAAACUCGCCCACUAAGCGUAACCGUUGCUAACGUGCCUAUGAUAUUCGCCUUACUAAUCCAAUAACCCUGUUACACUAUGUCCGCACCUCUUCUUUACUCAACCGGCCGGCCUACCAGCCUUCCCGAUCAACUCCCAAGCCUUCCCGAUCAACUCUCAAGCCUUCCUGAUCAACUCUCAAACCUUCUCGAUCAACUCCCAAACCUUCCUGAUCAACUCCCAUUGUUCCUCUUACCAACUUAUCAUCUUUUUUAUUCAUCUUCACCUGACCGACCACCCCCUUACACUACAUAAGCCCCCCAAGCCCCGAGCGUUGAUAUAAACGAAGGGGUUUAAUCGCUUCCCAACGAGGGUGGUGUAACAAACACUUUACUACUUAUCAUGUCGUUUUCCUAUAUAUGCAACCUUGAGUGUGCAAAUGUUUGGCGUCAUUUUAUGACUUCACCCGAACGUCACGCGUCUAUGAACAACACGCGACUUCACCCUAAACGACACUCCUCCCGAUCAACCUAACAGGAGUCAUUUUCCUGACUUCCUAUAAAGGGUGGGGUAUUCGAAGUCAUUUUCCUGACUUCAUUUUUCCUCCCUCGUUCCACCGAUAAGGAGUCAAUUUUCUUACUUCCUGAGAUUCUUCGAAGUCAAUUUUUUGACUUCCUUCUUUCUCCCUUUCGUUCCACCCGAUCAGGCAUCAAUUUUCUGACAUCUUGAGUCUUUGAAGUCAUUUUCUUGACUUCCUUCUUCCUCCCUUCAUGCCACCCGAUCAGCAGACAAUUUUCUGAUAUCCUGAGAUUCUUCGAAGUCAAUUUUCUGACUUCAUUUCUCCUCCCUUCGUUCCACCCGAUCAGGAGUCAAUUUUCUGACUUCCUGAGAUUCUUCAAAGUCAAUUUUCUGACUUCAUUUCUCCUCCCUUC